This 683-nucleotide small RNA is filed under the name Xanthomonas vasicola pv. musacearum. Its description in RNAcentral is "bacterial LSU rRNA". The stretch from base 236 to 683 matches the Rfam family "Bacterial large subunit ribosomal RNA", at positions 1 to 502 of the family's 2925-position model. Lineage: Bacteria; Pseudomonadati; Pseudomonadota; Gammaproteobacteria; Lysobacterales; Lysobacteraceae. The record is from RNAcentral.
CCCACCACUCUGAAUGUAGUGCACACUUAAGAAUUUAUAUGGAUCAGCGUUGAGGCUGAGACAUGUUCUUUUAUAACUUGUGACGUAGCGAGCGUUUGAGAUAUCUAUCUAAACGUGUCGUUGAGGCUAAGGCGGGGACUUCGAGUCCCUAAAUAAUUGAGUCGUAUGUUCGCGUUGGUGGCUUUGUACCCCACACAACACGUACAUGUAACUCCGAGGCAACUUGGGGUUAUAUGGUCAAGCGAAUAAGCGCACACGGUGGAUGCCUAGGCGGUCAGAGGCGAUGAAGGACGUGGUAGCCUGCGAAAAGUGUCGGGGAGCUGGCAACAAGCUUUGAUCCGGCAAUAUCCGAAUGGGGAAACCCACUGCUUCGGCAGUAUCCUGCAGUGAAUUCAUAGCUGCUGGAAGCGAACCCGGUGAACUGAAAUAUCUAAGUAACCGGAGGAAAAGAAAUCAACCGAGAUUCCCUAAGUAGUGACGAGCGAACGGGGAGCAGCCCUUAAGCUGGAAUGGCUUUAGAAAAACAAUCUGGAAAGAUUGGCCAUAGAAGGUGAUAGCCCUGUAUUUAAAAGGGCCACUCCAGUGAAGACGAGUAGGGCGGGGCACGUGAAACCCUGUCUGAAUAUGGGGGGACCAUCCUCCAAGGCUAAAUACUCCUGACCGACCGAUAGUGAACCAGUACC